This 386-nucleotide ribosomal RNA is filed under the name uncultured bacterium. RNAcentral describes it as "bacterial SSU rRNA". It matches the Rfam family "Bacterial small subunit ribosomal RNA", at positions 28 to 417 of the family's 1533-position model. The record is from RNAcentral.
GACGAACGCUGGCGGCGUGCUUAACACAUGCAAGUCGAGCGGUAAGGCCCUUCGGGGUACACGAGCGGCGAACGGGUGAGUAACACGUGGGUGACCUGCCUCAUAGCUCUGGGAUAAGCCUGGGAAACUGGGUCUAAUACCGGAUAUGACUCCACGGCGCAUGUUGUGGGGUGGAAAGCCUUGUGUGGCUAGAGAUGGGCCCGCGGCCUAUCAGCUUGUUGGUGGGGGAUGGCCUACCAAGGCGACGACGGGUAGCCGGCCUGAGAGGGCGACCGGCCACACUGGGACUGAGACACGGCCCAGACUCCUACGGGAGGCAGCAGUGGGGAAUCUUGCGCAAUGGGCGAAAGCCUGACGCAGCGACGCCGCGUGAGGGAUGACGGCCU